GAGGAGGUAGCUCAAUUGGGAGAGCACUCUGGUUAUAAAAGAUCUUUUACGUGGAUUGCCUUGCCAGCAAUAAAUACACAAGAGGAUCUCCAGAGAGGUUGUAGGUUCGAGUCCUAUCCUCUUCA
Molecule: transfer RNA, 125 nt
Filed under: Candidatus Peregrinibacteria bacterium
Lineage: Bacteria; Candidatus Peregrinibacteriota
Description: tRNA-Tyr
Rfam family: tRNA
About the family: Transfer RNA (tRNA) molecules are approximately 80 nucleotides in length. Their secondary structure includes four short double-helical elements and three loops (D, anti-codon, and T loops). Further hydrogen bonds mediate the characteristic L-shaped molecular structure. tRNAs have two regions of fundamental functional importance: the anti-codon, which is responsible for specific mRNA codon recognition, and the 3' end, to which the tRNAs corresponding amino acid is attached (by aminoacyl-tRNA synthetases). tRNAs cope with the degeneracy of the genetic code in two manners: having more than one tRNA (with a specific anti-codon) for a particular amino acid; and 'wobble' base-pairing, i.e. permitting non-standard base-pairing at the 3rd anti-codon position.
Source: RNAcentral